Molecule: ribosomal RNA, 468 nt
Filed under: uncultured bacterium
Lineage: Bacteria
Description: partial 16S ribosomal RNA
Rfam family: Bacterial small subunit ribosomal RNA
Source: RNAcentral
GACGAACGCUGGCGGCGUGCUUAACACAUGCAAGUCGAACGGAAAGGCCCUGCUUUUGUGGUGUGCUCGAGUGGCGAACGGGUGAGUAACACGUGAGUAACCUGCCCUUGACUUUGGGAUAACUUCAGGAAACUGGGGCUAAUACCGGAUAGGAGCUCCUGCUGCAUGGUGGGGGUUGGAAAGUUUCGGCGGUUGGGGAUGGACUGGCGGCGUAUCAGCUUGUUGGUGGGGCAGUGGCUUACCAAGGCUUUGACGGGUAGCCGGCCUGGGAGGGUGAACGGCCACAUGUAGACUGAGAUAGGGCCCAGACUCCUACGGGAGGAAGCAGUGAGGAGUAGUGCGCAAUGGGCGGAAACCUAAUUCGGCAACGCCGCGUGCGGGAUGACGGCCUUCGGGUUGUAAACCGCUUUCGCCUGUGACGAGGCGUAAGUGACGGUAAUGGGUAAAGAAGCACCAGCUAACUACGUG